RNAcentral lists this non-coding RNA (87 nucleotides) under Algibacter lectus. The record is from RNAcentral. Lineage: Bacteria; Pseudomonadati; Bacteroidota; Flavobacteriia; Flavobacteriales; Flavobacteriaceae.
UUACGUAAGGGAUAGCAGUGGAAAGCCCACAGUAAGCCCGAUGAGAAUCGGGAUUACGAGGACUUGGAGCGUAUAGCCCGACCCUUU